RNAcentral lists this ribosomal RNA (459 nucleotides) under uncultured bacterium. Its description in RNAcentral is "partial 16S ribosomal RNA". It matches the Rfam family "Bacterial small subunit ribosomal RNA", at positions 338 to 795 of the family's 1533-position model. The record is from RNAcentral.
CCUACGGGAGGCAGCAGUGAGGAAUAUUGGUCAAUGGGCGGAAGCCUGAACCAGCCAAGUAGCGUGCGGGAUGACGGCCCUACGGGUCGUAAACCGCUUUUGCACGGGGACAACACCCUCCACUUGUGGCGGUCUGCAGGUACCGUGCGAAUAAGGGCCGGCUAAUUCCGUGCCAGCAGCCGCGGUAAUACGGAAGGCGCGAGCGUUAUCCGGAUUUAUUGGGGUUAAAGGGAGCGUAGGCGGGCGUUCAAGUCAGCUGUAAAAUUGCGCGGCUCAACCGCGCCCCGCAGUUGAAACUGGGCGCCUUGAGUGCACAACAGGCAGGCGGAAUUCGUGGUGUAGCGGUGAAAUGCAUAGAUAUCACGAGGAACCCCGAUUGCGAAGGCAGCCUGCCGGGGUGCGACUGACGCUGAGGCUCGAAGGUGCGGGUAUCAAACAGGAUUAGAUACCCGAGUAGUC